UACAGAGGGGGCGAGCGUUGUUCGGAAUUACUGGGCGGAAAGGGCGCGUAGGCGGCCAACUAAGUCAGACGGGAAAUCCCUCGGCUCAACCGGGGAACUGCGUCUGAUACUGGAUGGCUUGAAUUCGGGAGAGGGAUGCGGAAUUCCAGGUGUAGCGGUGAAAUGCGUAGAUAUCUGGAGGAACACCGGUGGCGAAGGCGGUGCUCUGGGCCAGUACUGACGCUGAGGAGCGAAAGCGUGGGGAGCAAACAGG
Molecule: ribosomal RNA, 253 nt
Filed under: uncultured bacterium
Lineage: Bacteria
Description: partial 16S ribosomal RNA
Rfam family: Bacterial small subunit ribosomal RNA
Source: RNAcentral